UUAAAUUGAAGAGUUUGAUCAUGGCUCAGAUUGAACGCUGGCGGCAGGCCUAACACAUGCAAGUCGAACGGUAACAGGAARCAGCUUGCUGUUUCGCUGACGAGUGGCGGACGGGUGAGUAAUGUCUGGGAAACUGCCCGAUGGAGGGGGAUAACUACUGGAAACGGUAGCUAAUACCGCAUAACGUCGCAAGACCAAAGAGGGGGACCUUCGGGCCU
This 218-nucleotide ribosomal RNA is filed under the name Escherichia coli. Its description in RNAcentral is "partial 16S ribosomal RNA". It matches the Rfam family "Bacterial small subunit ribosomal RNA", at positions 1 to 215 of the family's 1533-position model. The record is from RNAcentral. Lineage: Bacteria; Pseudomonadati; Pseudomonadota; Gammaproteobacteria; Enterobacterales; Enterobacteriaceae.